ACACUAGAUGCUUUUCAAGACAUUAGAAAGACACUCCUCAAUCAAAGCAUGCCUCUCUCUACUGCUUUUCCAUCUCCCCAUCUUUUGCUCCUAGCUUGCAAGCAACUUGCAUCUCAUGGCUACUUCACACUUGAAUGAUUGGUUCAACAAUAAAUUAAUCUUCCCAACACAUUAGAUUUUGGGUUUUCUUUUCUUGAUAUUGCUUUGGCACUGUAAGAUCAGUUUGGCAACAAACCGAUCUUCCCAGUGUCAAGGGAACCAAAAAAAAGAAAAAAAGAA
Molecule: long non-coding RNA, 279 nt
Filed under: Selaginella moellendorffii
Lineage: Eukaryota; Viridiplantae; Streptophyta; Lycopodiopsida; Selaginellales; Selaginellaceae
Description: long non-coding RNA (SMOE_LNC002372)
Source: RNAcentral